Molecule: ribosomal RNA, 735 nt
Filed under: uncultured bacterium
Lineage: Bacteria
Description: bacterial SSU rRNA
Rfam family: Bacterial small subunit ribosomal RNA
Source: RNAcentral
AACAGGAUUAGAUACCCUGGUAGUCCACGCUGUAAACGGUGGGUACUAGGUGUGGGGUCCAUUCCACGGGUUCCGUGCCGUAGCUAACGCUUUAAGUACCCCGCCUGGGGAGUACGGCCGCAAGGCUAAAACUCAAAGGAAUUGACGGGGCCCCGCACAAGCGGCGGAGCAUGCGGAUUAAUUCGAUGCAACGCGUAGAACCUUACCUGGGUUUGACAUGGAUCGGGAGUGCUCAGAGAUGGGUGUGCCUCUUUUGGGGUCGGUUCACAGGUGGUGCAUGGCUGUCGUCAGCUCGUGUCGUGAGAUGUUGGGUUAAGUCCCGCAACGAGCGCAACCCUUGUUCACUGUUGCCAGCACGUUAUGGUGGGGACUCAGUGGAGACCGCCGGGGUCAACUCGGAGGAAGGUGGGGAUGACGUCAAGUCAUCAUGCCCCUUAUGUCCAGGGCUUCACGCAUGCUACAAUGGCUGGUACAGAGAGUGGCGAGCCUGUGAGGGUGAGCGAAUCUCGGAAAGCCGGUCUCAGUUCGGAUUGGGGUCCGCAACUCGACCUCAUGAAGUCGGAGUCGCUAGUAAUCGCAGAUCAGCAACGCUGCGGUGAAUACGUUCCCGGGGCUUGUACACACCGCCCGUCAAGUCAUGAAAGUUGGUAACACCCGAAGCCGGUGGCCUAACCGUUGUGGGGGAGCCGUCGAAGGUGGGACUGGUGAUUAGGACUAAGUCGUAACAAGGUAACC